Molecule: long non-coding RNA, 697 nt
Organism: Cicer arietinum (chickpea)
Lineage: Eukaryota; Viridiplantae; Streptophyta; Magnoliopsida; Fabales; Fabaceae
Source: RefSeq, a predicted model, not a curated record
CUAUUUCCUUUCCUUUGUUAGGGUUUCGGUUACAUUCUUCCAAUCGGUACUGAUUUUUGCUUCAUACGCCAAUGCGGUGAAACAGAACGAGAAUCAUCGCUUCUAGUAUUACCGUGAUUGUCUACGACUGAGGUAUAUAUAAGACUUUCAAUCAUUCUUAGAUGCCUCGUUGCAAAGACGAGUCCCCUGCAGUUCGUGUCUACACCGUUUGCGAUGAAUCCAGAUAUUUGAUUGUGAGGAACGUUCCAGCAUUAGGUUGCGGCGAUGACUUGCUGCAACUCUUUUCAUCAUACGGAGAAGUAGAGGAGUAAGUCUCUUGGUGCAUGUUUGUAUUCGUUUUGGGAGAGCCAAAAGUAAUUUUGAAGACUUAAAAUCAAUUUUUGUAUGUUUGGGGAUUCAAGACUACAAUUGAUUUUGCCUCUAGAAUUGAUUAGAUGUGUAAGGGAAAGAAUGAAAUACCUAUUGACAAUAACCCUUCCCUUGGCCUUGGCUGCUAUAGAGAUAGAGGGACAUGAAAAAGGGAAACAAGUGUAUGGAAAUAGAAUAGAAGAUUGAAGUACCCUCCAAAUGUAUUUAGGAUCCUUAUAACUUUAGGAUCAUUGACACGAUUCAAAAGUAAUUAACACAGAUCACUAUUUUUUUUGUCUAGGAUUGGUUUCAUUCAUAUACUUAUAUAGACCAAUUAUACUUCUAUUCA